This 429-nucleotide ribosomal RNA is filed under the name Bacillota bacterium. RNAcentral's name for it is "Firmicutes bacterium partial 16S ribosomal RNA". It matches the Rfam family "Bacterial small subunit ribosomal RNA", at positions 355 to 776 of the family's 1533-position model. The record is from RNAcentral. Lineage: Bacteria; Bacillati; Bacillota. RNAcentral also lists the same sequence under 1 other name.
UGGGGAAUUUUGGACAAUGGGGGCAACCCUGAUCCAGCCAUUCCGCGUGAGUGAAGAAGGCCUUCGGGUUGUAAAGCUCUUUCGGCAGGAACGAAACGGUGGUCCCUAAUACGGGCUGCUAAUGACGGUACCUGAAGAAGAAGCACCGGCUAACUACGUGCCAGCAGCCGCGGUAAUACGUAGGGUGCGAGCGUUAAUCGGAAUUACUGGGCGUAAAGCGUGCGCAGGCGGUUAUGUAAGACAGGUGUGAAAUCCCCGGGCUUAACCUGGGAACUGCGCUUGUGACUGCAUAACUCGAGUGUGGCAGAGGGGGGUGGAAUUCCACGUGUAGCAGUGAAAUGCGUAGAGAUGUGGAGGAACACCGAUGGCGAAGGCAGCCCCCUGGGUCAACACUGACGCUCAUGCACGAAAGCGUGGGGAGCAAACAGG